This 460-nucleotide ribosomal RNA is filed under the name uncultured bacterium. RNAcentral describes it as "partial 16S ribosomal RNA". It matches the Rfam family "Bacterial small subunit ribosomal RNA", at positions 338 to 795 of the family's 1533-position model. The record is from RNAcentral.
CCUACGGGUGGCAGCAGUGAGGAAUAUUGGUCAAUGGGCGCGAGCCUGAACCAGCCAAGUCGCGUGAAUGAUGACUGCCCUACGGGUUGUAAACUUCUUUUGUGAAGGAAUAAGGUGCAGCGCGUAUGCCUUUUUGUAUGGACUUUAUGAAUAAGGGUCGGCUAACUCCAUGCCAGCAGACGAGGUAAGACGGAGGAUCCGAGCGUUAUCCGGAUUUAUUGGGUUUAAAGGGAGCGUAGAUGGGUUGUUAAGUCAGUUGUGAAAGUUUGGGGCUCAACCGUAAAAUUGCAACUGAUACUGGCAGGCUUGAGUACAGUUGAGGUAGGCGGAAUUCGUGGUGUAGCGGUGAAAUGCUUAGAUAUCACGAAGAACUCCGAUUGCGAAGGCAGCUUACUAAACUGCGACUGACAUUGAUGCGCGAAAGCGUGGGUAUCAAACAGGAUUAGAUACCCUAGUAGUC